RNAcentral lists this ribosomal RNA (497 nucleotides) under uncultured bacterium. Its description in RNAcentral is "partial 16S ribosomal RNA". It matches the Rfam family "Bacterial small subunit ribosomal RNA", at positions 28 to 507 of the family's 1533-position model. The record is from RNAcentral.
GAUGAACGCUGGCGGCGUGCCUAAUACAUGCAAGUCGAGCGAACAGACGAGGAGCUUGCUCCUCUGACGGUAGCGGCGGACGGGUGAGUAACACGUGGAUAACCUACCUAUAAGACUGGGAUAACUUCGGGAAACCGGAGCUAAUACCGGAUAAUAUAUCGAACCGCAUGGUUCAAUAGUGAAAGACGGUUUUGCUGUCACUUAUAGAUGGAUCCGCGCCGCAUUAGCUAGUUGGUAAGGUAACGGCCUACCAAGGCAACGAUGCGUAGCCGACCUGAGAGGGUGAUCGGCCACACUGGAACUGAGACACGGUCCAGACUCCUACGGGAGGCAGCAGUAGGGAAUCUUCCGCAAUGGGCGAAAGCUUGACGGAGCAACGCCGCGUGAGUGAUGAAGGUCUUCGGAUCGUAAAACUCUGUUAUUAGGGAAGAACAAAUGUGUAAGUAACUAUGCACGUCUUGACGGUACCUAAUCAGAAAGCCACGGCUAACUACGUG